GUUCCCAUAGUUGAAUAACAACGGUGGCUUUUCGAGCCAUUGGUCUCGGUUAAACCCCGGGUGGGAACU
Molecule: transfer RNA, 69 nt
Filed under: Sardina pilchardus (European sardine)
Lineage: Eukaryota; Metazoa; Chordata; Actinopteri; Clupeiformes; Clupeidae
Description: tRNA-Glu
Rfam family: tRNA
About the family: Transfer RNA (tRNA) molecules are approximately 80 nucleotides in length. Their secondary structure includes four short double-helical elements and three loops (D, anti-codon, and T loops).
Source: RNAcentral